This 22-nucleotide small RNA is filed under the name Arabidopsis thaliana (thale cress). RNAcentral describes it as "ATSL016400". The record is from RNAcentral. Lineage: Eukaryota; Viridiplantae; Streptophyta; Magnoliopsida; Brassicales; Brassicaceae.
GGAAAAAAGAAACAGAGUAAAA